Molecule: long non-coding RNA, 822 nt
Organism: Anguilla anguilla (European eel)
Lineage: Eukaryota; Metazoa; Chordata; Actinopteri; Anguilliformes; Anguillidae
Exons: 2
Source: RefSeq, a predicted model, not a curated record
AACACACCAGGCAGAAAGCGCGAUCCAGGAAGAGUUCAGCCACACUCAGUCAACAUGCUGCACCCCAUCAUGAUCGGCAUCGUAACCGCCAACACCUCCAUCACCAUCAUCUUCUGGAACUUCAUCUUGUCUCAGGUCUUCUGCAAGAAGAUCGAGGACAAACCGCACGACGAGGUGGUCCCGGUCUAGUGAGUUAGCACGAGGCGAAGCAUUUUUUAAAACAAACAUUUAAAAAGUCAUGGACUGGCUGGCAGGUAGCACCAUUUUGUUUGGGGAGUAGUUUAUUCCUCCAUCCUCUGCAUCCAUCAUCUCUGUUAAAGAUGGUCUCCACCCAGACAGCAGCCCCAGCCUGAGCUCCCGUCCUCCCUGAUGGGAAGGAGGGAUUGAUGUUCCCACCUAGAAGAAGAGAAGCUUGAGGGAUGAAUGAAUAACCCCCCAAAUCUGGAACAUGGACUGAAGUAAAAAAGAGCUGUUCUGGGUUUCGCUCAGCACAGCUCAGUAAUCCUGCUUUGUGAAAUACCCCCCAGGUGUAACAACAUAUCAUAUAAUAUUGAGGUUAUAAUACGAAGAUAAUUUCCCAUAGAAUUUCAUCUUCCUGUGGAUGAUUCUUCAAUAGAAACUGCUGUUAAGUAGAACUGAAUAUGCUAGCUUAUGGCUGUGCAGUACACAUUUUCUGCACUAUAAGCGUUAAUCAAACAUGCUGCGUUGCUUCACUGUGCAGUAGAGGUAGAUUAAUCUGUACUUGUAAUUAAGCUGACCAAGUGGUUUACCAGUGCUGCAAUAAAGAAAGGAGUGGGAUUUAUCCCUUUCCAUUUUAUCUGA